RNAcentral lists this ribosomal RNA (371 nucleotides) under uncultured organism. RNAcentral describes it as "partial 16S ribosomal RNA". It matches the Rfam family "Bacterial small subunit ribosomal RNA", at positions 527 to 896 of the family's 1533-position model. The record is from RNAcentral.
GUAGGGUGCGAGCGUUAAUCGGAAUUACUGGGCGUAAAGCGUGCGCAGGCGGUUGUGCAAGACAGAUGUGAGAUCCCCGGGCUCAACCUGGGAAUUGCACUUGUGACUGUACGGCUAGAGUGUGUCAGAGGGGGGUAGAAUUCCACGUGUAGCAGUGAAAUGCGUAGAGAUGUGGAGGAAUACCGAUGGCGAAGGCAGCCCCCUGGGAUAACACUGACGCUCAUGCACGAAAGCGUGGGGAGCAAACAGGAUUAGAUACCCUGGUAGUCCCACGCCCCUAAACGAUGUCAACUAGUUGUCGGGUCUUAAUUGACUUGGUAACGCAGCUAACGCGUGAAGUUGACCGCCUGGGGAGUACGGUCGCAAGAUUA